Molecule: small nuclear RNA, 109 nt
Organism: Marmota marmota marmota (Alpine marmot)
Lineage: Eukaryota; Metazoa; Chordata; Mammalia; Rodentia; Sciuridae
Source: Ensembl
AUGCUCACUUUGGCAGCAUGCAUUCUAAAAUUGGAAUGACACAGAAAAAAUAUGAGCAUGGUCCCUGAGCAAGAAUGACAUGCAAAUUCAUGAAGUGUUCUAUGCUUUU